This 1581-nucleotide long non-coding RNA is filed under the name Mytilus galloprovincialis (Mediterranean mussel). Lineage: Eukaryota; Metazoa; Mollusca; Bivalvia; Mytilida; Mytilidae. The record is from RNAcentral.
AUUCAUUCAUUCAUUCAUUCAUUCAUUCAUUCAUAUCUUUAAUUCCUCAUAAAUGAGAUUCAAUGAACAUACAAUUAAUGAAUAUAAGCAAACGUUACAACAUAAUUACACACAAAUUAUUAGUAUAAGAGCAAAGUAUAAGGUAAAUACACAAAAGAUGAUAUAUAAAUAGUCUAUAAAAGCAGUGACACAUCAUGUAUUGACACAUCUAAUAACACUGUCUAAGAGAUCGACUAUAUUCUGCUACACACUGAAUAACAUGUGCAUGACACAGCUUGAGAAAUUGAACCGAUUCAUCUAUGCUUGAAAAAAUUGUCAGUGGUUUUCGACCGAGUAACAUUUGAAACAGGAUUUCGUCGUCAUACAUGCUUAAUUCACAGUAAAGAUGCACUGGAAAAUUGUCACUUAAAAUGUCCCACCAGACUUCUCGCUGUGCAUUAGUACUUGGACAAUUGCAACAAGCGUGUACAUAAACAUCUUUAAAAUUCCUUGUACAUAUAUCACAUGUAUUACUUGUUGUAUUUGGUAUUUCAGUUAGUAUUUUAGUGAUUAAAAAGGAACGCCUCCGGGUGCGGGAAUUUCUCGCUACAUUGAAGACCUGUUGGUGACCUUCUGCUGUUGUUUUUUUCUAUGGUCGGGUUGUUGUCUCUUUGGCACAUUCCCCAUUUCCAUUCUCAAUUUUAUUAAUCUCAUUAAAAGAAUUUGAGUGUUUCCAAAAUUCCGUAAUUGUCACUGACGUAUGAAUAUUCCUGAAACGUGUGAAGCUGUCAUCAGAAAUAACACGGUUUAACCAAUUGUUUAACUGUAUACUAUCGACUGCGCUAUAAAUGAUAGACUUCCAAAUUUGUUUUGAUGGAAAUGUUCCAUCUUCAAUAUAGUCAAGAAGGUAACUCAUAAGUCCAUACUGUUUUAAAAUGUCAAUGAUAUCAGGAAUAAAUCCGUAGUGUUUCCUUUGAGAGUCUAUAAAGAAAGUAAACAAUCUGGUGAGAAAUAUUCUCUUAGAAAGAGAGGAAAUGUCUAAGGUACACAGUUUUUGUAGGAAUAUAAGUUUUCUUUUGUCAAUAUAUCCUGUUAUUGGAUGAAUACCAAGAAUACUUUCGCACAUAUCAGAUCGAGUCGACGUUUUCAAGUUGAGAAUAUGUUUCACUAUAAAAUGUUGAAACCGGUUUAAAGUAGCUUUAUCAUAAGAUUUCAUGUUAUUCCACAUCUCACACCCGUAUAAAACACUGGGUAGUAUCACAGUUUUAUAUAGUUUGAGUAAUACACACGGAUUCGUUGCAUUUGUCUUUAUACCAUUCAACGCAAAGUAUGCGUUUCUGCCUUUUCUGCAUGAACUUUCAGUUCUUUGAUUUGAUUUAAAUCGAUAGUUUAGUUCUAUACCUAAGUGUAGAUAGUUAUUUGCUAUCGGGAUACGUUCAUUACCAAUAAACCAUGGAAAAUUGACAUUGAUCUCUCUCGUAUUCACAGAAAAUUGAAUGAUACACGACUUAUUUGCAUUGAAACGAAAACGCCAUUUCUUUGAAUAUUGGUUACACACAUUAAGCAUACGUUGUAAGGAUGCUGGAGAUGUGGCAAUACAUG